UACGUAGGGCGCAAGCGUUGUCCGGAAUCAUUGGGCGUAAAGAGCUCGUAGGCGGUUUGUCGCGUCUGCUGUGAAAACUCGAGGCUCAACCUCGGGCUUGCAGUGGGUACGGGCAGACUAGAGUGCGGUAGGGGUGACUGGAAUUCCUGGUGUAGCGGUGGAAUGCGCAGAUAUCAGGAGGAACACCGAUGGCGAAGGCAGGUCACUGGGCCGCAACUGACGCUGAGGAGCGAAAGCAUGGGGAGCGAACAGG
This 253-nucleotide ribosomal RNA is filed under the name uncultured bacterium. Its description in RNAcentral is "partial 16S ribosomal RNA". It matches the Rfam family "Bacterial small subunit ribosomal RNA", at positions 524 to 776 of the family's 1533-position model. The record is from RNAcentral.